This 2501-nucleotide long non-coding RNA is filed under the name Cucumis sativus (cucumber). RNAcentral describes it as "long non-coding RNA (CSAT_LNC002608)". Lineage: Eukaryota; Viridiplantae; Streptophyta; Magnoliopsida; Cucurbitales; Cucurbitaceae. The record is from RNAcentral.
AAUUUAACCCCUUUGAUGCUAUUAUUUGCUUUAUAUAUGUGUUUUUCUGAAUGGAACACAUUGGGUCAUGGGAGAACAACAGGAAAGCAGCUCUUGAGGCUGAACUAAAACAAAUUGAGGUAAUUAGAAAAUAAAAUAUAUGUAAUGUGUUUAAGUUUUAUUUGUAUAGUAUGUAGAUGCUAUUUACGAUUUUAGUUCUAGAAUUUUAGAAAAAUUCAUUAAAUAUAAACUCACAACCUCAGUGAAGAUUCCAAAAUCUGUAAUUCGAUAUUUCUCUUCAUUGACGGAACUGCUCUUUACAACUAUGUUUUUUUUUUUUUUUUGUCGAUUUCAUUUGGAUUGAUUUUGUAAUGAGAGCAUGAAAAAUUUGAGAAGAAGAAGGGUGAGUAUAUAGAGAAAAUGAAGAACAAAAUAGCAUUGAUACACAAAACAACAUAAGAAAAUAAGGUUGUUAAUUGAAGCAAAGCAUAGAGAAGAAAGGCUGAAGGCAAAGGCAGAGGAAAUUGCUGCCAAACACAGAGCUACUGGAACUGCUCCUAAGAAGAUUUUCAAUUGUUUCUAAUUUUAAAUUAAACCAUAUAUGUUUACAAUAAUUUUAAAGCUGAAAUGUGCUUGAUUUUCUGUAAUGGUAUGCUCUUGUUUCCAUUUCUUAUUGACUUGUUAAAAGUUAAGAUGUUCAAAAAGCUAACCACAAAAGUUCUUAUAUUAGAUAUUUUUUAUCUCUGACAGACUAUCGGUUCCAAUUUGUAGGAACGGUGUAUUUAGGUACUUUAGAACCUCAACUACCUUCAAGUAGAUUGUACAUUGUAAGGAAAUCAUAGUAAGGUAUCCAUAAACAAUAUUCAUCUCUAUACAUUGAAUCUAGGAGAAGAAUUUGUGCAUGUCAUCAUACUCGGGUGUAUAAAGAUUCAGAAUUCAUUUAGAAGUUUUAGUUUUCUUAUUGUAAACAUAUUACGUUGCAUAUCUACAUUUGUGCUUAUUAUUUUGCAUGAUCUUAAACGUCCAAAUCCAAUCACUAAAGUUUGAUUACAUGAUGAAAAUGUGAUUCAGCCUUCAGAUGUAUGAUCAUAGAGAAUUGGGAAGCAUCCAAUAGAAAUGGAGCACGUCAGACAAUAAAGGUAUAUAUCUUAUGAAGGCUAACAACUCAAGAGGAUACCUCUAAUGUUAACAUGUAAAGAAGAUAAGAACAAUCUAACGAUAUAGUUAACAGGUAAUAUUUAUUUCAAAGUAUAUACUCUUACAACUUUAGUUUGUUGAAGUUAUUGGCUUUCCAUUUUUCACUCUUUGAUGAUUUGUCAUUAUUCAAUUUUAGUGGUUAUAUAUGCUAAAACAAACUAUUGAACUGUUGCUUUACGAAACAAGAUAAAUACUUGAAAACAAUCGAUCGAUACCAACAAUAUACCUGCUAGGAUGCUACAAUUUUUUUUUUAUCAUGGAUAGUAUGCUUAUACCGGUUGACUAUUGCUACUUGUGUAAAUUGCCAUGGGUGUUAUGUCUAUACUUAUUGCUAUUGCUAAAUUGCUACUUGUGUAAAUUCUCAUGGAUUUUAUGUUUGUACUCAUUGGUAGAGCUUUUUUUAAAACAAUCCAUAACAUUUUUUUUUUAAUCAUGGAUAGUAUGUUUAUACCGGUUGACUAUUGCUACUUGUGUAAAUUGUAAUGGGUGUUAUGUCUAUACUUAUUGCUAUUGCUAAAUUGCUACUUGUGUAAAUUGUUAUGGAUUUUAUGUUUGUAAAAAUUUUUAUAAGAAACUAGGAGACCUUUAAUUUUUGUCAAGCCAUAAAUGAUACAAGUUGUUCUAGUUUCAUUUUCCUAGUACCUUAAUAUUUCUUGGCUUCAUUAACUGAAGUGGAUUGCAAAUGAAAACUGUCUUCUUUCUGAUAUUUGUAGAUUUGAAAGUGUUUGACUCCUUAAGAUGGAAACUUUUCGGUUCUUGUUGGAUAACGUUUCUUCCAACCUUAGUUUCAUUCAUCUUGAUUAUUACUUAUGAUUACUUAUUCAAUAAUUUUCUUGUUGCUUACUUAUUUAUAUCCAGCUAAAUUUUCUAAAGAGUAAUGAUACAAGAGCUGUAAUUUGUAAAAAGUUCCAAUACUGUAGACCAAGUGGAUGUUAAGGUGAUGCUGUUAUUCUACAUGUGUGCUAUGCUAUGUAGUUGUUUCUCUUAUCGACGUAUGUGGUGAUAGAUAAUGCUCAAUGUUGAAAUUUUCUAUAAGAGUUGUACUCUCUUGUUCUAUGAUGAAUGCUAAUAUUCAUAUUGUCUUUGUAGGUUCAACUGGAGUCGACAACUUCAUGGGUUUACUUUCAAAGUACAUUUUCAGAGACGAACAUUCUCGAUUGGUCGUUUAUGCUUUAGCAGAAAAUCUUUUUAUAUGUAUUUUGAUGUUGUUUAAUAUAUUUUUUUAUUAAGGGCUGAAAUUCCGUACUUGUAAAUUGUUGGAACUUGAUUGGAAAUGUACGAAUAUUAUAAAUUGUAUUAUAGCGUAUAUAUAUUAAAGUGUCGGC